GAAAUGUGAUAAGUAAUGUGAAUUGCAGAAUUCAGUGAAUCAUCGAAUCUUUGAACACACCUUGCGCUCCUUGGUAUUCCUUGGAGCAUGCCUGUUUGAGUAUCAUGAAAUCUUCAAAGUAAAUCUUUUGUUAACUCAAUUGGUUUCUACUUUGGUAUUGGAGGUCUUUGCAGCUUCACACCUGCUCCUCUUUGUUCAUUAGCUGGAUCUCAGUGUUAUGCUUGGUUCCACUCGGCGUGAUAAGUUAUCUAUCGCUGAGGACACUGUAAAAGGUGGCCAAGGUAAAUGCAGAUGAACCGCUUCUAAUAGUCCAUUGACUUGGACAAUACUUUUAUGAUCUGAUCUCAAAUCAGGUAGGACUACCCGCUGAACUUAAGC
This 378-nucleotide unclassified non-coding RNA is filed under the name plant metagenome. RNAcentral describes it as "partial contains 5.8S ribosomal RNA, internal transcribed spacer 2, and large subunit ribosomal RNA". The stretch from base 1 to 105 matches the Rfam family "5.8S ribosomal RNA", at positions 50 to 154 of the family's 154-position model. The record is from RNAcentral.